UACGUAGGGUGCAAGCGUUAAUCGGAAUUACUGGGCGUAAAGCGUGCGCAGGCGGUUAUGUAAGACAGAUGUGAAAUGCCCGGGCUUAACCUGGGAACUGCAUUUGUGACUGCAUGGCUAGAGUUUGGCAGAGGGGGGUAGAAUUCCACGUGUAGCAGUGAAAUGCGUAGAUAUCGGGAGGAACAUCAGUGGCGAAGGCGGCCCUCUGGUCCAGUACUGACACUCAAGUGCGAAAGCGUGGGGAGCAAACAGG
Molecule: ribosomal RNA, 253 nt
Filed under: uncultured bacterium
Lineage: Bacteria
Description: partial 16S ribosomal RNA
Rfam family: Bacterial small subunit ribosomal RNA
Source: RNAcentral